Molecule: unclassified non-coding RNA, 200 nt
Filed under: root metagenome
Description: partial internal transcribed spacer 1
Source: RNAcentral
GAACCUGCGGAAGGAUCAUUAUCAAAAGUCAAGUCGGGGGCUGUAAAGCUCUCGUCUACACCCAUGUCUUUUGCGUACUCUUGUUUCCUCGGUGGCGCAAGCUGCCGAUUGGACAAACCAAAACCUUUUUUGUAAUUGCAAUCAGCGUCUGAAAAUAAUCUAAUUAUUUACAACUUUCAACAACGGAUCUCUUGGUUCUG